RNAcentral lists this long non-coding RNA (415 nucleotides) under Phoenix dactylifera (date palm). RNAcentral's name for it is "long non-coding RNA (PDAC_LNC020178)". The record is from RNAcentral. Lineage: Eukaryota; Viridiplantae; Streptophyta; Magnoliopsida; Arecales; Arecaceae.
CAGAGGCGCCAUCCACGCCUCACGAAAAAGACGAGGAGCCGCCGCAGACGAAGCUCCCGCUGCCUCCAGGGGAACGCCACCUCCAAGGGAUAUUCCGGUCCUCCCCAGUGUUAGGGGAGAGAAGGAAUACAAGGGAGAAGAGCAUAUGGAGGCGCGGUCCCGGAUCAAGCACCUGGUGCGGAGCUCAAUCGGGAGGCCGAACUUCAAGGAGGGGAGACGUGAUCCCGGAUGAAACGCCUAGAGCGGACUUCCGCCGGGGAGAACCUCCUUGUUGAUCCCAGAUGAAACGGCUAGUUGGCGGAAGUCGCGAAGGGCGCGCCUCCCGUUCCUUCGGUAGGGGUCUCUCAACCAUGCGCCGGAGAGGAGGCCCACGAUCCAUGGCAACCUGAACAGCUCCGGCUUGGCAGGCUCCAUC